RNAcentral lists this ribosomal RNA (460 nucleotides) under uncultured bacterium. Its description in RNAcentral is "partial 16S ribosomal RNA". It matches the Rfam family "Bacterial small subunit ribosomal RNA", at positions 338 to 795 of the family's 1533-position model. The record is from RNAcentral.
CCUACGGGAGGCAGCAGUGAGGAAUAUUGGUCAAUGGGAGGAAUCCUGAACCAGCCAUGCCGCGUGCAGGACGACGGCUCUACGAGUUGUAAACUGCUUUUGUACCGGGGUAAAAUGCUCUACGAGUAGGGUUUUGAAAGUACGGUACGAAUAAGCAUCGGCUAACUCCGUGCCAGCAGCCGCGGUAAUACGGAGGAUCCGAGCGUUAUCCGGAUUUAUUGGGUUUAAAGGGUGCGUAGGUGGUUUUAUAAGUUAGCGGUGAAAUACCGAUGGUCAACCUCGGGGGGGCCGUUGAUACUGUAGGACUAGAGUGCGGGAGAAGCAGGAGGAAUGUGUGGUGUAGCGGUGAAAUGCAUAGAUAUUACACAGAACACCGAUUGCGAAGGCAGCUUGCUAGGCCGGAUCUGACACUGAUGCACGAAAGCGUGGGGAUCGAACAGGAUUAGAUACCCGAGUAGUC